GAGUUUGAUCUUGGCUCAGGAUGAACGCUAGCUACAGGCUUAACACAUGCAAGUCGAGGGGCAGCAUUUUAGUUUGCUUGCAAACUAAAGAUGGCGACCGGCGCACGGGUGAGUAACACGUAUCCAACCUGCCGAUAACUCGGGGAUAGCCUUUCGAAAGAAAGAUUAAUAUCCGAUAGCAUAUUAGAACCGCAUGGGUUUUAUAUUAAAGAAUUCGGUAUGAGAUGGGGAUGCGUUCCAUUAGUUUGUUGGCGGGU
RNAcentral lists this ribosomal RNA (257 nucleotides) under uncultured bacterium. RNAcentral describes it as "partial 16S ribosomal RNA". It matches the Rfam family "Bacterial small subunit ribosomal RNA", at positions 9 to 257 of the family's 1533-position model. The record is from RNAcentral.